UACGUAGGUGGCGAGCGUUAUCCGGAUUUAUUGGGCGUAAAGCGUCCGCAGCCGGUUUAUUAAGUCUAAGAUUAAAGCCCGAGGCUCAACCUCGGUUCGUUUCAGAAACUGGCAGACUUGAGUGUGGUAGAGGCAAGUGGAAUUUCUAGUGUAGCGGUUAAAUGCGUAGAUAUUAGAAGGAACACCAGUGGCGAAGGCGGCUUGCUGGGCCAUUACUGACGCUGAGACACGAAAGCGUGGGGAGCAAACAGG
Molecule: ribosomal RNA, 252 nt
Filed under: uncultured Mollicutes bacterium
Lineage: Bacteria; Bacillati; Mycoplasmatota; Mollicutes
Description: partial 16S ribosomal RNA
Rfam family: Bacterial small subunit ribosomal RNA
Source: RNAcentral